RNAcentral lists this unclassified non-coding RNA (162 nucleotides) under uncultured Isaria. RNAcentral describes it as "sequence contains ITS2". Lineage: Eukaryota; Fungi; Ascomycota; Sordariomycetes; Hypocreales; Cordycipitaceae. The record is from RNAcentral.
CAACCCUCGACUUCCCUUUGGGGAAAUCGGCGUUGGGGACCGGCCGUAUACCGCCGGCCCCGAAAUGAAGUGGCGGCCCGUCCGCGGCGACCUCUGCGUAGUAAUCCAACUCGCACCGGAACCCCGACGUGGCCACGCCGUAAAACCCCCGACUUCUGAACG